Hemibagrus wyckioides is the source of this 554-nucleotide long non-coding RNA. RefSeq lists it as uncharacterized. Lineage: Eukaryota; Metazoa; Chordata; Actinopteri; Siluriformes; Bagridae. The transcript is spliced from 3 exons. The record is from RefSeq and is a predicted model, not a curated record.
AAUGUGCUUACAAGCUUUCUUUGCUGAAGUAUUCUUCUUUGGUGAAACAAGUUGAUUCCAAAGCUGACCAUAUUAUUAUGUAUAUUAUAGAGCUAUGAAGGAAUACUGCUAUCAGCUAUCAGAUAUAUAUAAACCAGGUGUUUCCUGUCAAGAGUCUCAAGCCAGCGUUGAUCAAAGUUUUUGAUUACUACCAAACAGGUAACGAGUCUGAGACGGAGUACACAUCCCCCUGUGUGUAAGCUGAUAGUUUGCUGGUUAUUUGUCAGGCCUAAGAAAAAAAUAUGGACUUCACAUACAUAUUGUAUUGCUGCUACAAUUCAAGUUUUAAUGUUUUUUGUUUGUUUGUUUGUUUUGUUUUUUGCAAUAUAUAUCUCAUGAGCAUAAAGGCUUUAACCUAAUCAGCUCUAAUGAGCCCAGCACAGUAGAAUCAGAACUUGUCAUGUCAGGUGAUUGCACAGGGUUACAUACCCCCUAGAUUUGAUGCAUAUUGUAUAUGCUGAAUUAUUUCAGCCUGCUUUUGGUGGAGGGUCUAUCCAGGCUGAUAAUUUCUUAUA